RNAcentral lists this ribosomal RNA (254 nucleotides) under uncultured bacterium. Its description in RNAcentral is "partial 16S ribosomal RNA". It matches the Rfam family "Bacterial small subunit ribosomal RNA", at positions 526 to 779 of the family's 1533-position model. The record is from RNAcentral.
CGGAGGGAGCUAGCGUUGUUCGGAAUUACUGGGCGUAAAGCGCACGUAGGCGGCGAUUUAAGUCAGAGGUGAAAGCCCGGGGCUCAACCCCGGAACUGCCUUUGAGACUGGAUUGCUAGAAUCUUGGAGAGGCGAGUGGAAUUCCGAGUGUAGAGGUGAAAUUCGUAGAUAUUCGGAAGAACACCAGUGGCGAAGGCGGCUCGCUGGACAAGUAUUGACGCUGAGGUGCGAAAGCGUGGGGAGCAAACAGGAUU